RNAcentral lists this ribosomal RNA (491 nucleotides) under uncultured Paenibacillus sp. RNAcentral's name for it is "partial 16S ribosomal RNA". The record is from RNAcentral. Lineage: Bacteria; Bacillati; Bacillota; Bacilli; Caryophanales; Paenibacillaceae.
CACGUAGUUAGCCGGGGCUUUCUUCUCAGGUACCGUCACCCAAAGAGCAGUUACUCUCUCUGGCGUUCUUCCCUGGCAACAGAGCUUUACGAUCCGAAAACCUUCAUCACUCACGCGGCGUUGCUCCGUCAGACUUUCGUCCAUUGCGGAAGAUUCCCUACUGCUGCCUCCCGUAGGAGUCUGGGCCGUGUCUCAGUCCCAGUGUGGCCGUUCACCCUCUCAGGUCGGCUACGCAUCGUCGCCUUGGUAGGCCAUUACCCCACCAACUAGCUAAUGCGCCGCAGGCCCAUCCUCAAGUGACAGAUUGCUCCGCCUUUCCAUAUUCAGCCAUGCAGCCAAAUAUCCUAUCUGGUAUUAGCUACCGUUUCCGGUAGUUAUCCCAGUCUUGAGGGCAGGUUGCCUACGUGUUACUCACCCGUCCGCCGCUAAAUCUCAGGAGUGCAAGCACUCCAUCGAUCCCGCUCGACUUGCAUGUAUUAGGCACGCCGCCA